RNAcentral lists this long non-coding RNA (1199 nucleotides) under Nicotiana tabacum (common tobacco). Its description in RNAcentral is "long non-coding RNA (NTAB_LNC003370)". Lineage: Eukaryota; Viridiplantae; Streptophyta; Magnoliopsida; Solanales; Solanaceae. The record is from RNAcentral.
UUCCAGGUAGUUCCUUAAAUUACAUACGUAUCUUCCAAAUAAGGCUAUGCAAGUAACAAUAUUGCACCACCUAGUCGCAUGAUUUUGGGUGGCUAAAGUCUAACGUUCUUCAAAAUAUUAUAGUUGCUUAAGCUUACGGAGGAAGCUCUCAAUUCCAACAAUCUCUUUACUUCACUAUCCAAUAUGCUUUGCUUUCUGUAGAUGAUGUAUGUUAAGAGCUUAGGUGGGAAUUCCUUCGUAGCUUUUUACUUUCUUUUGGGUAAUAGUUUUUAAAAAAAUGUUGUGCUGGAGUUAUUUUUCUGGUGGAGAUUGCUUCAGUGACGAUCUAUAUGGGUUUCUGGUGGAAAGUUUUAGCUGGUUGCAAAACAUUGAUUUCAGGAUAUAUUUUGUGCUUGCUUUUACAUGUAUGUUAAGGCUAUCCCUUCUUUCUUUUGGCAUUAUCUAUACGACACGAACGAAACGAGCAAAUGCACAAUUUCUAUAAAUGACUCUAUUUAUAGAAAUAUUAAGGGUGUCUAUAUUCUUGAUUCUCCAUGUGAAUUAUUAUUAUAUCUUCUGUUCAUGGGUUUCAGAAAAAUACGUAUUUGACAAAAUUUAUCCGACAGGCAUAUUAUUUUUAUGAUAUUCCGAGAAAAUAUUAUUAACGUAUUUCUUAUGCAUUUCAUGCAUUUAUACAUAUACAUUUACCCAUGACCAGAUGGUGUUAUAUACGCGUAUAUAGGUAUAUUAUAUGUAUAUGGGAUAUGAAAAAAGGUUAUGGCAUUAUAUACGCACCACCACCUGAUCAGCUAGUAUACGUUGAUGAUUUGCCCACAGUGGCCGAAAUGAUAUGAUGGGAUGCCCUCAGUGGCUUGAUGAUAUUAUGAACACAUAUACCUAUGCAUGGUAUGACAUUUAAACGCAUAUGCAUGACAUUAUAAAAAUAAAAUGAUUCACAGAGCUAUGCAGACGUACAUGUCGAGUCUUUUACUCCAUGUUUCUCGCAUGUCUAUUAUUUACUGAUUUUCGUUCCUUACGUACUCGGUACAAUAUUUGUACUGACGUGCUUUUUGCGUGGGGACGCUGCGUUUCAUGCCCGCAGGUCGAGAGUCCUCCAAGUAGGCGAUCAUCUCAGCAGAAUAUAUUGGUGCACUCCAUUUGCUCCGGAGUUGCUUGUUUGGUCGGUAUGAUUUAGAUGUGUAUGGUUUGGUAUGGCGGGG